GGACCUGACUGCUAUCGGAUUGAUACUAAGCCAUGCGAGUCAUUGUAGCAAUACAAGGCAGACGGCUCAGUAACGCGUAGUCAACCUACCCUAUGGACGGGAAUAACCUCGGGAAACUGAGUAUAAUGCCCGAUAGAACAUUAUGCCUGGAAUGGUUUAUGUUCCAAAUGAUUUAUCGCCGUAGGAUGGGACUGCGGCCUAUCAGUUUGUUGGUGAGGUAAUGGCCCACCAAGACUAUUACAGGUACGGGCUCUGAGAGGAGUGGCCCGGAGAUGGGUACUGAGACACGGACCCAGGCCCUAUGGGGCGCAGCAGGCGAGAAAACUUUGCAAUGUGCGAAAGCACGACAAGGUUAAUCAGAGUGGUUUCUGCUAAAGGAACCUUUUGUCAGUCCUAGAAACACUGAUGAAUAAGGGGUGGGCAAGUUCUGGUGACG
This 436-nucleotide ribosomal RNA is filed under the name uncultured archaeon. Its description in RNAcentral is "bacterial SSU rRNA". It matches the Rfam family "Archaeal small subunit ribosomal RNA", at positions 19 to 460 of the family's 1478-position model. The record is from RNAcentral.